UAAGGUUUUACCUUAGCCUAUUGGUUAAGUAAAAGUGUCCUAUAUGGGAUCUUAAGAGUAGAUAAAGUUAGAGUAAAAGAAAUUGCCCUCACUCCUCCCCAAUAGUUAAAUUUGGAAUCUGGUUAAUUUCCUGGGCCAGCACCCUCCCGAUGAAGUCAGUGCCAGCAGUCGCGGUUAGACUGAAGGGGUUUAACUGUAUUUGAAAGAUAGGUGGUAAUUUUAACCUUUAAAAAAGAGGUGAAAUUUUUAUUUUGAAAGGUUCCCCUAGUAAGCCUUUGAAAUUUAAAAGAUAAACAAGGAUUAGAUACCCUUCUAUAUUUAAAUGAAAAUUCUUAAGGAGAGUAGUUGUUAUAGUCUUGAAACCCAAAAGGUAUGGCGGUAUUUAGUUAAAUCAGAGGAACCUGCCCAAUAAGUGAUACCCCUCAUUAUAUCUUACCUUUUUUAGGUUUGUAUACCGUCGUCUAAGCUAUAUUUAUAAAUCUAAGAGCUAGAAGCAGAGAUGGGUAAUUCAGAUCCAGGCGCAGCUUUAAAAGGUUGAGGUGGGUUACAUUUAAACUUUUAAUGGAAAGAGGAGGAAAUGUACCUGAAAAUUGGAUUUGAAAGUAAUUUAAAUUUAAUAAGUUUAAAUGAGUGUUUUUCUAAAUAUGUACAUAUCGCCCGUCACUCUCAGUCAAUGAGAUAAGUCGUAACAAAGUAGAUGUACUGGAAAGUACCUCUUUAGUUUG
This 725-nucleotide non-coding RNA is filed under the name Trachelipus rathkii. Lineage: Eukaryota; Metazoa; Arthropoda; Malacostraca; Isopoda; Trachelipodidae. The record is from RNAcentral.